Molecule: ribosomal RNA, 223 nt
Filed under: uncultured bacterium
Lineage: Bacteria
Description: partial 16S ribosomal RNA
Rfam family: Bacterial small subunit ribosomal RNA
Source: RNAcentral
AGUAAUGUAUGGGGAUCUGCCUGAUGGCGGGGGAUAACUACUGGAAACGGUAGCUAAUACCGCAUAAUGUCUACGGACCAAAGCGGGGGACCUCCGGGCCUCGCGCCAUCAGAUGAACCCAUAUGGGAUUAGCUAGUAGGUGAGGUAACGGCUUACCUAGGCGACGAUCCCUAGCUGGUCUGAGAGGAUGAUCAGCCACCACUGGGACUGAGACACGGCCCAG